This 210-nucleotide ribosomal RNA is filed under the name uncultured bacterium. RNAcentral describes it as "partial 16S ribosomal RNA". It matches the Rfam family "Bacterial small subunit ribosomal RNA", at positions 524 to 732 of the family's 1533-position model. The record is from RNAcentral.
UACGUAGGGUGCGAGCGUUGUCCGGAAUUAUUGGGCGUAAAGGGCUCGUAGGCGGUCUGUCGCGUCGGUCGUGAAAACUUGGGGCUUAACCCUGAGCUUGCGGUCGAUACGGGCAUGACUGGAGUUCGGUAGGGGAGACUGGAAUUCCUGGUGUAGCGGUGAAAUGCGCAGAUAUCAGGAGGAACACCGGUGGCGAAGGCGGAUCUCUGG